This 810-nucleotide long non-coding RNA is filed under the name Physcomitrium patens. RNAcentral describes it as "long non-coding RNA (PPAT_LNC001250)". The record is from RNAcentral. Lineage: Eukaryota; Viridiplantae; Streptophyta; Bryopsida; Funariales; Funariaceae.
CGACUUCAAAGAGGCCAUUAGGAAAUCAAAGGCAAGAUUUGUAAAGUUUAGGGUUUUGGCUACAAUUUUUGUGCAAAUUUUAUAGGGUUUGGAGUUAGGGUGAAUAAGUUAUAGCCGUUUGAAGUUAAGGUGUCAAUUUGAGACCUACUGUUACUCUUUUGAGUUUAAGAGGAGUCUUACGGAAGCUUUUGGAGAUCGGAAGGUGCGGCUGGAAGGGCAACUUCAAGACAUACAUCUUUUGCGAAGAAAAUUUUGCAUUUGGAGUUUAUGUGAAGGAGUUAUAGGGAGUUAAAGACAGUGCAUUCAAAUCAAAGGCAGUAAGUAAGCGGUUUUGUUCAAAGUAGUGUUAGGAGCCAUAACUUGAGUUUUCGAACGAAAUUUUGGCUCAAACUUUGGGAGAAUGUAAAAAUUUGUGUUAAGAAGCUAUCUAUAAAAGUUUCGUGGCAUUUGCACUUAUGGUUUGUGAGAUAUAAAGAAAAUUGCGUGCGGGUAUAUAAAGAUUACGGUUUGAAGCGACUGUUAGGGUUUUGAAGAUAUCUCAAGAUCCGCGACGAAUUUGCGGUUGAAAUUUGUUGUACAAAUUAAUAACAACAUAUCAGUACUUCAUGUAAAUUUUGAUCUUGUUUGGACGGUUGGAUCAAGAGUUAUGAGGUGUUGAAGUGUAGAAGAAUUUCCACACAAGGAUAUACAAGGUUUUAAAGUACUUCUACCAUAUUUUGGUUGUUGUUGGUUAUUUAAGACUUAAGUAUUUGGUGUAAUUGUUCCAAAAGGAGAAAUUAUAUAUAUAAAAUUAGGGUUUCCUUAUUUUAA